UAACGCGUGAGUAACCUGCCUUACACAAGGGGAUAGCCUCUGGAAACGGAGAAUAAUACCCUAUGAAACUAUCUUAUCGCAUGAAAAGAUAGUCAAAGUGUCUUAGCGGUGUAAGAUGGACUUGCGUCUGAUUAGCUAGUUGGUGAGAUAACAGCCCACCAAGGCAACGAUCAGUAGCCGGCUUGAGAGAGUGUACGGCCACAUUGGGACUGAGACACGGCCCAG
Molecule: ribosomal RNA, 225 nt
Filed under: uncultured Eubacteriales bacterium
Lineage: Bacteria; Bacillati; Bacillota; Clostridia; Eubacteriales
Description: uncultured Clostridiales bacterium partial 16S ribosomal RNA
Rfam family: Bacterial small subunit ribosomal RNA
Source: RNAcentral